UUUUAAAAGUUUCAUCUAUUUCUACUGUUAAAAUUUGAUAUAGUUGACAGAAUAACUAGACAGUUACAAAUGACGUGCCACGUGAAGUUUAUGCCGACAUACAUAGACCGGUUUUUAACUAUAGAAAUCGGUGAAACUUUUAAAA
This is a non-coding RNA of Gossypium raimondii (Peruvian cotton), 145 nucleotides long. The record is from Rfam. Lineage: Eukaryota; Viridiplantae; Streptophyta; Magnoliopsida; Malvales; Malvaceae.